CCUACGGGUGGCUGCAGUGGGGAAUCUUGGACAAUGGGCGCAAGCCUGAUCCAGCUAUUCCGCGUGUGUGAUGACGGCCCUCGGGUUGUAAACCACUGUAGUUAGGAACGAAAAGGAUCUUUCGUAUAAAUACCUCUCCUGACGGUACUCUACGAAUAAGCACCGGCUAACUACGUGCCAGCAGCCGCGGUAAUACGUAGGGUGCAAGCGUUAAUCGGAAUUACUGGGCGUAAAGCGUGUGCAGGCGGCUGAGUAAGACUGAUGUGAAAGCCCCGGGCUUAACCGGGGAACCGCAUAUGUGACUGCGUGGCUAGAGUGCGUAAGAGGGAAGUGGAAUUCCAGGUGUAGCAGUGAAAUGCGUAGAUAUGUGGAAGAACACCGAUGGCGAAGGCAGCUUUCUGGUAAGCAACUGACGCUGAUACACGAAAGCGUGGGGAGCAAACAGGAUUAGAUACCCCAGUAGUC
This 465-nucleotide ribosomal RNA is filed under the name uncultured bacterium. Its description in RNAcentral is "partial 16S ribosomal RNA". It matches the Rfam family "Bacterial small subunit ribosomal RNA", at positions 338 to 795 of the family's 1533-position model. The record is from RNAcentral.